This 77-nucleotide transfer RNA is filed under the name Candidatus Shapirobacteria bacterium. Its description in RNAcentral is "tRNA-Pro". It matches the Rfam family "tRNA". From Rfam's summary of the family: Transfer RNA (tRNA) molecules are approximately 80 nucleotides in length. Their secondary structure includes four short double-helical elements and three loops (D, anti-codon, and T loops). Lineage: Bacteria; Candidatus Shapironibacteriota. The record is from RNAcentral.
CGGGGAUUGGCGCAAUUGGCUAGCGCGCACGGUUCGGGAUCGUGAGGUUGCUGGUUCGAAUCCAGUAUCCCCGACCA